GACGACGCAACGCCGCGUGGAGGAUGAAGGUCUUCGGAUUGUAAACUCCUGUUGCCCGGGACGAAUGGCUCCAACCUAAUACGUUGGAGUGUGACGGUACCGGGUGAGGAAGCCCCGGCUAACUCUGUGCCAGCAGCCGCGGUAAUACAGAGGGGGCAAGCGUUGUUCGGAAUUACUGGGCGUAAAGGGCGCGUAGGCGGCCUGCUAAGUCGAACGUGAAAUCCCUGGGCUCAACCCAGGAACUGCGUCCGAUACUGGUUGGCUUGAAUCCGGGAGAGGGAUGUGGAAUUCCAGGUGUAGCGGUGAAAUGCGUAGAUAUCUGGAGGAACACCGGUGGCGAAGGCGACAUCCUGGACCGGCAUUGACGCUGAGGCGCGAAAGCCAGGGGAGCAAACGGGAUUAGAUACCCCGGUAGUCCUGGCCCUAAACGAUGAAUGCUUGGUGUGGUGGGUAUCGAUCCCUACCGUGCCGAAGCUAACGCAUUAAGCAUUCCGCCUGGGGAGUACGGUCGCAAGGCUG
RNAcentral lists this ribosomal RNA (519 nucleotides) under uncultured Acidobacteriota bacterium. RNAcentral's name for it is "bacterial SSU rRNA". It matches the Rfam family "Bacterial small subunit ribosomal RNA", at positions 385 to 896 of the family's 1533-position model. The record is from RNAcentral. Lineage: Bacteria; Pseudomonadati; Acidobacteriota.